Molecule: ribosomal RNA, 465 nt
Filed under: Vreelandella stevensii
Lineage: Bacteria; Pseudomonadati; Pseudomonadota; Gammaproteobacteria; Oceanospirillales; Halomonadaceae
Description: partial 16S ribosomal RNA
Rfam family: Bacterial small subunit ribosomal RNA
Source: RNAcentral
CCUACGGGAGGCAGCAGUGGGGAAUAUUGGACAAUGGGCGAAAGCCUGAUCCAGCCAUGCCGCGUGUGUGAAGAAGGCCUUCGGGUUGUAAAGCACUUUCAGUGGGGAAGAAAGCCUUGGGGCUAAUACCCUCGAGGAAGGACAUCACCCACAGAAGAAGCACCGGCUAACUCCGUGCCAGCAGCCGCGGUAAUACGGAGGGUGCGAGCGUUAAUCGGAAUUACUGGGCGUAAAGCGCGCGUAGGCGGUCUGAUAAGCCGGUUGUGAAAGCCCCGGGCUCAACCUGGGAACGGCAUCCGGAACUGUCAGGCUAGAGUGCAGGAGAGGAAGGUAGAAUUCCCGGUGUAGCGGUGAAAUGCGUAGAGAUGGGGAGGAAUACCAGUGGCGAAGGCGGCCUUCUGGACUGACACUGACGCUGAGGUGCGAAAGCGUGGGUAGCAAACAGGAUUAGAUACCCGUGUAGUC